Non-coding RNA from Paramormyrops kingsleyae, 478 nucleotides. Lineage: Eukaryota; Metazoa; Chordata; Actinopteri; Osteoglossiformes; Mormyridae. The record is from RefSeq and is a predicted model, not a curated record.
UGCAGCUUGUGCUUUGAUCUGCUUACUCUUCUAUGUUUUGAUGUACAUGUGUGGACAUAAAAAGGGUGUGACGGAAUCUGAGCUACAUAAGACUGUGGAGGAGGGACAGCAGCUUCCUGCUGGUGCACAUGGGAAGCAGGUGCAAGACAGAAGUGACGGACGACAGCUGCUUGACAUUUACUCAGAGGUCAAUUACAGCCCACUGUGACCUCUGACCUCAGCCACACCUCCACAAGUCAUGUGAUCCAGAUAACUCCACCCUCCAAGACUCGCUUACACACCUCCUCCUACAUGUCUUCAUUUUGACACAUAAGGGGUUAAAUUUUCUCAUUCAGAUAUAAUUGUGAUUUUAAUUUUCAUGCACGCAUUGUAGUCUGGCUGAACUGUAAAGGGAGUGUCCAGCUUUGUUAGUGCUGUUCCUAAUAUUCCGCGUUCUUCUUUGUAGGAAAAUAAAGUCAUUGACGCGAGACUUGUUUAA